GCGGGCAUAGCUCAGUUGGUUAGAGCGCCAGAUUGUGGCCCUGGAGGUCGUGAGUUCGAUUCUCUCUGCCCGCCCCA
Molecule: transfer RNA, 77 nt
Filed under: Clostridiales bacterium
Lineage: Bacteria; Bacillati; Bacillota; Clostridia; Eubacteriales
Also listed under: 1 other name
Description: tRNA-His
Rfam family: tRNA
About the family: Transfer RNA (tRNA) molecules are approximately 80 nucleotides in length. Their secondary structure includes four short double-helical elements and three loops (D, anti-codon, and T loops). Further hydrogen bonds mediate the characteristic L-shaped molecular structure. tRNAs have two regions of fundamental functional importance: the anti-codon, which is responsible for specific mRNA codon recognition, and the 3' end, to which the tRNAs corresponding amino acid is attached (by aminoacyl-tRNA synthetases). tRNAs cope with the degeneracy of the genetic code in two manners: having more than one tRNA (with a specific anti-codon) for a particular amino acid; and 'wobble' base-pairing, i.e. permitting non-standard base-pairing at the 3rd anti-codon position.
Source: RNAcentral